RNAcentral lists this ribosomal RNA (253 nucleotides) under uncultured bacterium. RNAcentral's name for it is "partial 16S ribosomal RNA". It matches the Rfam family "Bacterial small subunit ribosomal RNA", at positions 524 to 776 of the family's 1533-position model. The record is from RNAcentral.
UACGAAGGGGGCGAGCGUUGUUCGGAAUUACUGGGCGUAAAGAGCGCGCAGGCGGUUGUUUAAGUCGAAUGUGAAAGCCCCCGGCUCAACUGGGGAGGGUCAUUCGAUACUGAUCGACUUGAAGGCAGGAGAGGGAAGUGGAAUUCCGGGUGUAGUGGUGAAAUGCGUAGAUAUGCGGAGGAACACCGAUGGCGAAGGCAAUCCCCUGGGCCUGCACUGACGCUCAUGCACGAAAGCGUGGGGAGCAAACAGG